This 579-nucleotide ribosomal RNA is filed under the name bacterium SL4.19. RNAcentral's name for it is "bacterial SSU rRNA". It matches the Rfam family "Bacterial small subunit ribosomal RNA", at positions 59 to 651 of the family's 1533-position model. The record is from RNAcentral.
AAGUCGAACGAUGAAGCCCAGCUUGCUGGGUGGAUUAGUGGCGAACGGGUGAGUAACACGUGAGUAACCUGCCCUUGACUCUGGGAUAAGCCUGGGAAACUGGGUCUAAUACUGGAUAUGACUUCUCAUCGCAUGGUGGGGGGUGGAAAGAUUUAUUGGUCUUGGAUGGACUCGCGGCCUAUCAGCUUGUUGGUGAGGUAAUGGCUCACCAAGGCGACGACGGGUAGCCGGCCUGAGAGGGUGACCGGCCACACUGGGACUGAGACACGGCCCAGACUCCUACGGGAGGCAGCAGUGGGGAAUAUUGCACAAUGGGCGCAAGCCUGAUGCAGCGACGCCGCGUGAGGGAUGACGGCCUUCGGGUUGUAAACCUCUUUCAGUAGGGAAGAAGCGAGAGUGACGGUACCUGCAGAAGAAGCGCCGGCUAACUACGUGCCAGCAGCCGCGGUAAUACGUAGGGCGCGAGCGUUAUCCGGAAUUAUUGGGCGUAAAGAGCUCGUAGGCGGUUUGUCGCGUCUGCCGUGAAAGUCCGGGGCUUAACUCCGGAUCUGCGGUGGGUACGGGCAGACUAGAGUGCAG